GACGAACGCUGGCGGCGUGCCUAAUACAUGCAAGUCGAACGCUUCUUUCCUCCCGAGUGCUUGCACUCAAUUGGAAAGCGGAGUGGCGGACGGGUGAGUAACACGUGGGUAACCUACCCAUCAGAGGGGGAUAACACUUGGAAACAGGUGCUAAUACCGCAUAACAGUUUAUGCCGCAUGGCAUAAGAGUGAAAGGCGCUUUCGGGUGUCGUUGAUGGAUGGACCCGCGGUGCAUUAGCUAGUUGGUGAGGUAACGGCUCACCAAGGCCACGAUGCAUAGCCGACCUGAGAGGGUGAUCGGCCACACUGGGACUGAGACACGGCCCAGACUCCUACGGGAGGCAGCAGUAGGGAAUCGUCGGCAAUGGACGAAAGUCUGACCGAGCAACGCCGCGUGAGUGAAGAAGGUUUUCGGAUCGUAAAACUCUGUUGUUAGAGAAGAACAAGGACGUUAGUAACUGAACGUCCCCUGACGGUAUCUAACCAGAAAGCCACGGCUAACUACGUG
RNAcentral lists this ribosomal RNA (508 nucleotides) under uncultured bacterium. RNAcentral describes it as "partial 16S ribosomal RNA". It matches the Rfam family "Bacterial small subunit ribosomal RNA", at positions 28 to 507 of the family's 1533-position model. The record is from RNAcentral.